RNAcentral lists this ribosomal RNA (958 nucleotides) under uncultured Eubacterium sp. Its description in RNAcentral is "bacterial SSU rRNA". It matches the Rfam family "Bacterial small subunit ribosomal RNA". The record is from RNAcentral. Lineage: Bacteria; Bacillati; Bacillota; Clostridia; Eubacteriales; Eubacteriaceae.
CGCUGGCGGCGUGCCUAACACAUGCAAGUCGAGCGGAAUUAGAACUUCGGUUCUAAUUUAGCGGCGGACGGGUGAGGAACACGUGGAUAACCUGCCUUUAACUUAGGAAUAACGUUCAGAAAUGAACGCUAAUGCCUAAUAAGCUCACGACGCUGCAUAGCGAUGUGAGAAAAGAUUUAUCGGUUAAAGAGGGGUCCGCGGCUGAUUAGCUAGUUGGCAGGGUAACGGCCUACCAAGGCAACGAUCAGUAGCCGGGAUGAGAGUCUGGACGGCCACAUUGGGACUGAGACACGGCCCAAACUCCUACGGGAGGCAGCAGUGGGGAAUAUUGCGCAAUGGGCGAAAGCCUGACGCAGCAACGCCGCGUGAAGGAUGACGGUCUUCGGAUUGUAAACUUCUAGCCCGCACAAGCGGUGGAGCAUGUGGUUUAAUUCGAUGCGACGCGAAGAACCUUACCCAAGGCUUGACAUGGUAGUGACCGGAUUAGAGAUAAUCCUUUCCUUCGGGACACUACACACAGGUGGUGCAUGGUUGUCGUCAGCUCGUGUCGUGAGAUGUUGGGUUAAGUCCCGCAACGAGCGCAACCCUUAUUUUUAGUAGCCAUCAGGUUAAGCUGGGCACUCUAGAGAGACUGCCGUGGAUAACACGGAGGAAGGUGGGGAUGACGUCAAAUCAUCAUGCCCUUUGUGCCUUGGGCAACACACGUGCUACAAUGGCUGCAACAAAGUGACGCAAGACGGCGACGUUAAGCAAACCACAAAAAAGCAGUCUCAGUUCGGAUUGUAGUCUGCAACUCGACUAUAUGAAGCUGGAAUCGCUAGUAACCGCGAAUCAGAAUGUCGCGGUGAAUACGUUCCCGGGCCUUGUACACACCGCCCGUCACANCCAUGGGAGUUGGAAACGCCCGAAGUCUGUGGCCGAACCCGUAAGGGACGGAGCAGCCGAAGGUGAAGCCAGC